CCUACGGGAGGCUGCAGUGGGGAAUAUUGGACAAUGGGGGCAACCCUGAUCCAGCCAUGCCGCGUGUGUGAAGAAGGCCCUCGGGUUGUAAAGCACUUUCAGUGAGGAAGAACGCCUGGUGGUUAAUACCCAUCAGGAAAGACAUCACUCACAGAAGAAGCACCGGCUAACUCCGUGCCAGCAGCCGCGGUAAUACGGAGGGUGCGAGCGUUAAUCGGAAUUACUGGGCGUAAAGCGCGCGUAGGUGGCUUGAUAAGCCGGUUGUGAAAGCCCCGGGCUCAACCUGGGAACGGCAUCCGGAACUGUCAAGCUAGAGUGCAGGAGAGGAAGGUAGAAUUCCCGGUGUAGCGGUGAAAUGAGUAGAGAUCGGGAGGAAUACCAGUGGCGAAGGCGGCCUUCUGGACUGACACUGACACUGAGGUGCGAAAGCGUGGGUAGCAAACAGGAUUAGAUACCCCUGUAGUC
RNAcentral lists this ribosomal RNA (465 nucleotides) under Vreelandella stevensii. RNAcentral describes it as "partial 16S ribosomal RNA". It matches the Rfam family "Bacterial small subunit ribosomal RNA", at positions 338 to 795 of the family's 1533-position model. The record is from RNAcentral. Lineage: Bacteria; Pseudomonadati; Pseudomonadota; Gammaproteobacteria; Oceanospirillales; Halomonadaceae.